Molecule: long non-coding RNA, 353 nt
Filed under: Nicotiana benthamiana
Lineage: Eukaryota; Viridiplantae; Streptophyta; Magnoliopsida; Solanales; Solanaceae
Description: long non-coding RNA (NBEN_LNC018796)
Source: RNAcentral
AAUUCUAAGCGCCUUUCUUUCAGAAGUUCCACAGCUGCUUCAUAUGCAGCCGAAUUUUGAACAGACUGCCUAAUGAUGCUGACAACAGCACCAAGGUUACGUUCAACAUAUGGGUGCUUUGAUUUCAUCGAUCGCUUUAAUUUGCUUGUGGUAAGAGGCAUCUGCUUAGCUUUUGCAACAAAGUACUAUGUUUAGAACAUCUGCAGCCUAUUACGCUCAACAUAUGGGUGCUUUGCUUUCAUCGAUCGCUUUAAUUUGUUUGUGGUAAGAGGCAUCUGCUUAGCUUUUGCAACAAAGUACUAUGUUUAGAAAAUCUGCAGCCUAUAAGCACCAGUACAUAGGAAGAGAACUUU